GGGGGCAUAGCUCCGUGGUGGAACGCGUGCUUAGCAUGCACAAGGUCCUGGGUUCAAUCCCCAGUACCUCCA
RNAcentral lists this transfer RNA (72 nucleotides) under Camelus bactrianus (Bactrian camel). It matches the Rfam family "tRNA". From Rfam's summary of the family: Transfer RNA (tRNA) molecules are approximately 80 nucleotides in length. Their secondary structure includes four short double-helical elements and three loops (D, anti-codon, and T loops). Further hydrogen bonds mediate the characteristic L-shaped molecular structure. tRNAs have two regions of fundamental functional importance: the anti-codon, which is responsible for specific mRNA codon recognition, and the 3' end, to which the tRNAs corresponding amino acid is attached (by aminoacyl-tRNA synthetases). tRNAs cope with the degeneracy of the genetic code in two manners: having more than one tRNA (with a specific anti-codon) for a particular amino acid; and 'wobble' base-pairing, i.e. permitting non-standard base-pairing at the 3rd anti-codon position. RNAcentral also lists the same sequence under 1 other name. Lineage: Eukaryota; Metazoa; Chordata; Mammalia; Artiodactyla; Camelidae. The record is from Rfam by way of RNAcentral.